GAAAACUAACCUGGUAAGGCAUGAGAGAUACAAUGGGGCAGGAUCGGGGGCCGGGGGAAAUGAAGGUUUGGCAUAGCUAAGGUUUGACUGAGUACUGUUCUCGCAAGUGAACCUAGCGGGAAAGCUGAAGAAGGUGAGAUGAAAAGGCCAUUUAGGUCCAGACCUAAUGAGACACAGACAAAGAGUUUGAAAGGGAGUAGUAGAGAGACUUGGAAGAAGGGAAAAUACAUCUAUUCCAGGUAGACAACCAUGAGCUGAUGGAGUGUUCUGACAGAAAGAAGAUGGCUAAGAAGAGUAGAAAAGAGGAUAGAUGGAUUUAUCAAGAAAGCA
RNAcentral lists this long non-coding RNA (330 nucleotides) under Homo sapiens (human). Its description in RNAcentral is "HSALNT0010311". The record is from RNAcentral. Lineage: Eukaryota; Metazoa; Chordata; Mammalia; Primates; Hominidae.